AUUUCAUGCAGAGUGGCUGAGGGACGAGCCCUGAGACGCCACGGCAACCGGACCGGGAUCAUCUAUCGCGGCCGCCAGGUGCCAACUCUC
RNAcentral lists this non-coding RNA (90 nucleotides) under Acidobacteriota bacterium. RNAcentral's name for it is "Acidobacteria bacterium SAM-I sequence". It matches the Rfam family "SAM riboswitch aptamer (S box leader)", at positions 1 to 79 of the family's 108-position model. From Rfam's summary of the family: The SAM riboswitch is found upstream of a number of genes which code for proteins involved in methionine or cysteine biosynthesis in Gram-positive bacteria. The SAM riboswitch acts at the level of transcription termination control. The record is from RNAcentral. Lineage: Bacteria; Pseudomonadati; Acidobacteriota.